UUUGUUUGUAACUGAGUUAACUUGCGUUUUCAUCAACUAUUUUUUAAAGCCAGUAGUAGUAGUUUGAAUUUCAUACACAGAGAAACUAAGGCUUAAAUAGAUUCCUUUAUUGUGAUAUAACUUGUAAUAAAACCAAGAUAUGAACCUAGUCUGAGCAUUCAGAUAUCCAGCUUGUCUUUCUCUUUCUUAGCUAUACCAACAAACCCAUACAGUUUGCCUCCAAAAUGAAUGAAAUGUUGUCUCUUCCCUCCAGUGUUGUACAUAGUCUAGUUAGUAAGAAAACUAAGCCUCCAGAAAAGGCUAUUACUUCAUCAUUACAAACAGUAAAUAAUUUAAUUUUAGAAUUUACUUUUACUUUGAAUAUUUAUUUGAUGGUGGAAACAAAGUUCCUAUAAAAAUGGAGUUGAACUAAGCAGUUUAAACACACUCAUAUUUGAAACAUUUGUUACUUAAUCACUAGGUGACUGUCUUGAGAGUAAUUACUGAUUCUAAAACUAUUUUUCUUAAUCAUUAAUUUAUCAAUUCUAGGAUGAAGAAGCUGCUCUGGCAGAUGGUGAAGAUGUUCCCUAUGAGAACAGUGUUAGGCAGUUUUUGGGUGAAUAUAAAUCAUGGCAAGACAACAUUCAAACAGUUCUAUUUACAUUAGUCCAGGCUAUGGGUCAGGUUCGAAGUCAAGAACACGUUGAAAUGCUCCAGGAAAUCACUCCCACCUUGAAAGAACUGAAAACACAAAGUCAGAGUAUCUAUAAUAAUUUAGUGAGUUUUGCAUCACCCUUAGUCACCGAUGCAACAAAUGAAUGUUCAAGUCCAACGUCAUCUGCUACUUAUCAGCCAUCCUUCGCUGCAGCAGUCCGGAGUAACACUGGCCAGAAGACUCAGCCUGAUGUCAUGUCACAGAAUGCUAGAAAGCUGAUCCAGAAAAAUCUUGCUACAUCAGCUGAUACUCCACCAAGCACCGUUCCAG
RNAcentral lists this small RNA (964 nucleotides) under Pan troglodytes (chimpanzee). RNAcentral describes it as "retained intron". The record is from RNAcentral. Lineage: Eukaryota; Metazoa; Chordata; Mammalia; Primates; Hominidae.